This 684-nucleotide ribosomal RNA is filed under the name uncultured equine intestinal eubacterium sp. CL10. RNAcentral describes it as "bacterial SSU rRNA". It matches the Rfam family "Bacterial small subunit ribosomal RNA", at positions 797 to 1482 of the family's 1533-position model. The record is from RNAcentral.
ACGCCGUAAACGAUGAAUACUAGGUGUUGGGGACCAUAGGUCUUCGGUGCCGCAGCAAACGCAAUAAGUAUUCCACCUGGGGAGUACGUUCGCAAGAAUGAAACUCAAAGGAAUUGACGGGGACCCGCACAAGCGGUGGAGCAUGUGGUUUAAUUCGAAGCAACGCGAAGAACCUUACCGAAUCUUGACAUCCUCUUGACAAGCUAUGUAAUGUAGCCUCUCUUCGGAGCAGGAGUGACAGGUGGUGCAUGGUUGUCGUCAGCUCGUGUCGUGAGAUGUUGGGUUAAGUCCCGCAACGAGCGCAACCCUUGUCCUUAGUAGCCAGCAGUAAGAUGGGCACUCUAGGGAGACUGCCGGAGAUAAUCCGGAGGAAGGUGGGGAUGACGUCAAAUCAUCAUGCCCCUUAUGAUUUGGGCUACACACGUGCUACAAUGGCGUAAACAAAGGGAGGCGAAACCGUGGGGUCUAGCAAAUCCCAAAAAUAACGUCUCAGUUCGGAUUGUAGUCUGCAACUCGACUACAUGAAGCUGGAAUCGCUAGUAAUCGCGAAUCAGAAUGUCGCGGUGAAUACGUUCCCGGGUCUUGUACACACCGCCCGUCACACCAUGGGAGUCAGUAACGCCCGAAGUCAGUGACCUAACCGUAAGGAAGGAGCUGCCGAAGGCGGGACGGAUAACUGGGGUG